Molecule: ribosomal RNA, 406 nt
Filed under: uncultured bacterium
Lineage: Bacteria
Description: partial 16S ribosomal RNA
Rfam family: Bacterial small subunit ribosomal RNA
Source: RNAcentral
AUUGAACGCUGGCGGCAGGCUUAACACAUGCAAGUCGAGCGAGCGGCGGACGGGUGAGUAAUGUCUGGGAAACUGCCUGAUGGAGGGGGAUAACUACUGGAAACGGUAGCUAAUACCGCAUACCAUCAGAUGUGCCCAGAGGGGAUUAGCUAGUAGGUGGGGUAAAGGCUCACCUAGGCGACGAUCCCUAGCUGGUCUGAGAGGAUGACCAGCCACACUGGAACUGAGACACUGUCCAGACUCCUACGGUAGGCAGCAGUGGGGAAUAUUGCACAAUGGGCGAAAGCCUGAUGCAGCCAUGCCGCGUGGAUGAAGAAGGCCUUCGGGUUGUAAAGCACUUUCAGCGGGGAGGCGUUACUCGCAGAAGAAGCACCGGCUAACUCCGUGCCAGCAGCCGCGGUAAUUC